Potamilus streckersoni is the source of this 77-nucleotide non-coding RNA. NCBI's taxonomy places the organism in Eukaryota, Metazoa, Mollusca, Bivalvia, Unionida, Unionidae. The record is from the annotation of a GenBank genome assembly.
GACCGCUCCGGUGGCCUAGUGGUUAGAGCAUCCGCCUCGAAUGCCGGAAGUCGUUGUUUCGAACACCGGCCGAGUCA